This 75-nucleotide ribosomal RNA is filed under the name Bacillus inaquosorum. Its description in RNAcentral is "partial 16S ribosomal RNA". It matches the Rfam family "Bacterial small subunit ribosomal RNA", at positions 1 to 75 of the family's 1533-position model. The record is from RNAcentral. Lineage: Bacteria; Bacillati; Bacillota; Bacilli; Caryophanales; Bacillaceae.
UUAUCGGAGAGUUUGAUCCUGGCUCAGGACGAACGCUGGCGGCGUGCCUAAUACAUGCAAGUCGAGCGGAGAGCG